RNAcentral lists this ribosomal RNA (497 nucleotides) under uncultured bacterium. RNAcentral's name for it is "partial 16S ribosomal RNA". It matches the Rfam family "Bacterial small subunit ribosomal RNA", at positions 28 to 507 of the family's 1533-position model. The record is from RNAcentral.
GAUGAACGCUGGCGGCGUGCCUAACACAUGCAAGUCGAGCGGACGGACGCGGCGCUUGCUUUUCUCUUGUUAGCGGCGCGCGGGUGUGUAACACGUGGAUCACCUACCUAUCAGACUGGGAUCUCUUCGAGAAACCGGAGCUAAUACCGGAUAAUAUUUUGAAGCACAGGGGUCAAUAGAGAAAGUCGGUCUUGCUGUCACUUAUAGCUGGAUCCGGGCUGCUUUAGCUAGUUGGUAAGGUAACGGCUUACCAAGGCUACGAUGCGUAGCCGACCUGAGAGGGUGGUCGGCCACACUGGAAGUGAGACACGGUCCAGACUCCUACGGGACGCAGCAGUCGGGAAUGUUACGCAAUGGGCGAAAGCCUGACGGAGCAACGCCGCGUGAGUGAUGGAGGCCUUCGGAUCGUAAAACUCUGUUAUUAGGGAAGAACAGAUGUGUACGUAACUGUGCAGAGCGUGACGGUACCGAAUCAGAAAGCCACGGCUAACUACGUG